This 849-nucleotide ribosomal RNA is filed under the name Alternaria sp. RNAcentral's name for it is "partial large subunit ribosomal RNA". It matches the Rfam family "Eukaryotic large subunit ribosomal RNA", at positions 81 to 948 of the family's 3401-position model. Lineage: Eukaryota; Fungi; Ascomycota; Dothideomycetes; Pleosporales; Pleosporaceae. The record is from RNAcentral.
UAGUAACGGCGAGUGAAGCGGCAACAGCUCAAAUUUGAAAUCUGGCUCUUUUAGAGUCCGAGUUGUAAUUUGCAGAGGGCGCUUUGGCUUUGGCAGCGGUCCAAGUUCCUUGGAACAGGACGUCACAGAGGGUGAGAAUCCCGUACGUGGUCGCUGGCUAUUGCCGUGUAAAGCCCCUUCGACGAGUCGAGUUGUUUGGGAAUGCAGCUCUAAAUGGGAGGUACAUUUCUUCUAAAGCUAAAUAUUGGCCAGAGACCGAUAGCGCACAAGUAGAGUGAUCGAAAGAUGAAAAGCACUUUGGAAAGAGAGUCAAACAGCACGUGAAAUUGUUGAAAGGGAAGCGCUUGCAGCCAGACUUGCUUACAGUUGCUCAUCCGGGUUUCUACCCGGUGCACUCUUCUGUAGGCAGGCCAGCAUCAGUUUGGGCGGUAGGAUAAAGGUCUCUGUCACGUACCUCCUUUCGGGGAGGCCUUAUAGGGGAGACGACAUACUACCAGCCUGGACUGAGGUCCGCGCAUCUGCUAGGAUGCUGGCGUAAUGGCUGUAAGCGGCCCGUCUUGAAACACGGACCAAGGAGUCUAACAUCUAUGCGAGUGUUUGGGUGUCAAGCCCGAGCGCGUAAUGAAAGUGAACGGAGGUGGGAACCCGCAAGGGUGCACCAUCGACCGAUCCUGAUGUCUUCGGAAGGAUUUGAGUAAGAGCAUGGCUGUUGGGACCCGAAAGAUGGUGAACUAUGCUUGAAUAGGGUGAAGCCAGAGGAAACUCUGGUGGAGGCUCGCAGCGGUUCUGACGUGCAAAUCGAUCGUCAAAUUUGGGCAUAGGGGCGAAAGACUAAUCGAACUAUCUAGU